GAUGAACGCUGGCGGCGUGCCUAAUACAUGCAAGUCGAGCGAACAGACGAGGAGCUUGCUCCUCUGAUGUUAGCGGCGGACGGGUGAGUAACACGUGGAUAACCUACCUAUAAGACUGGGAUAACUUCGGGAAACCGGAGCUAAUACCGGAUAAUAUAUUGAACCGCAUGGUUCAUUAGUGAAAGACGGUCUUGCUGUCACUUAUAGAUGGAUCCGCGCCGCAUUAGCUAGUUGGUAAGGUAACGGCUUACCAAGGCAACGAUGCGUAGCCGACCUGAGAGGGUGAUCGGCCACACUGGAACUGAGACACGGUCCAGACUCCUACGGGAGGCAGCAGUAGGGAAUCUUCCGCAAUGGGCGAAAGCCUGACGGAGCAACGCCGCGUGAGUGAUGAAGGUCUUCGGAUCGUAAAACUCUGUUAUUAGGGAAGAACAAAUGUGUAAGUAACUAUGCACGUCUUGACGGUACCUAAUCAGAAAGCCACGGCUAACUACGUG
Molecule: ribosomal RNA, 497 nt
Filed under: uncultured bacterium
Lineage: Bacteria
Description: partial 16S ribosomal RNA
Rfam family: Bacterial small subunit ribosomal RNA
Source: RNAcentral